AUUUAAAUAGUUUAUUAAAAUAUUGAUUUGUGGUGUCAAAGAUAUGAGGUUUAUUCAUUUUAAAUA
Molecule: transfer RNA, 66 nt
Filed under: Parankylopteryx sp. YJ-2017
Lineage: Eukaryota; Metazoa; Arthropoda; Insecta; Neuroptera; Chrysopidae
Description: tRNA-His
Source: RNAcentral